GACGAACGCUGGCGGCGUGCUUAACACAUGCAAGUCGAACGGAAAGGCCCUGCUUUUGUGGGGUGCUCGAGUGGCGAACGGGUGAGUAACACGUGAGUAACCUGCCCUUGACUUUGGGAUAACUUCAGGAAACUGGGGCUAAUACCGGAUAGGAGCUCCUGCUGCAUGGUGGGGGUUGGAAAGUUUCGGCGGUUGGGGAUGGACUCGCGGCUUAUCAGCUUGUUGGUGGGGUAGUGGCUUACCAAGGCUUUGACGGGUAGCCGGCCUGAGAGGGUGACCGGCCACAUUGGGACGGGGAUACGGCCCGGACUCCUACGGGAGGCAGCAGUGGGGAAUAUUGCACAAUGGUCGGAAGCCGGAUGCAGCAACGCCGCGUGCGGGAUGACGGCCUUCGGGUUGUAAACCGCUUUCGCCUGUGACGAAGCGUGAGUGACGGUAAUGGGUAAAGAAGCACCGGCUAACUACGUG
This 468-nucleotide ribosomal RNA is filed under the name uncultured bacterium. Its description in RNAcentral is "partial 16S ribosomal RNA". It matches the Rfam family "Bacterial small subunit ribosomal RNA", at positions 28 to 507 of the family's 1533-position model. The record is from RNAcentral.